Molecule: ribosomal RNA, 207 nt
Filed under: uncultured bacterium
Lineage: Bacteria
Description: partial 16S ribosomal RNA
Rfam family: Bacterial small subunit ribosomal RNA
Source: RNAcentral
CGUGUAGGCGGCUAUGCAAGUCGGAUGUGAAAGCCCUGGGCUUAACCUAGGAAGUGCACUCGAAACUGCAUAGCUCGAGUCCCGGAGAGGAUGGUGGAAUUCUCGGUGUAGAGGUGAAAUUCGUAGAUAUCGAGAGGAACACCGGUGGCGAAGGCGGCCAUCUGGACGGGUACUGACGCUGAGACGCGAAAGCGUGGGUAGCAAACA